UCGGGAAUUUUGGGCAAUGGGCGCAAGCCUGAUCCAGCCAUGCCGCGUGGAUGAUGAAGGCCUUAGGGUUGUAAAAUCCUUUCGCCGAGGACGAUAAUGACGGUACUCGGAGAAGAAGCUCCGGCUAACUUCGUGCCAGCAGCCGCGGUAAUACGAAGGGGGCUAGCGUUGUUCGGAUUUACUGGGCGUAAAGCGCGUGUAGGCGGGUUGGAAAGUUGGGGGUGAAAUCCCGAGGCUCAACCUCGGAACUGCCUCCAAAACUUCCAGCCUGGACUCAAGUAGAGGCAAGUGGAAUUGCGAGUGUAGAGGUGAAAUUCGUAGAUAUUCGCAGGAACACCAGUGGCGAAGGCGACUUGCUGGACUUGUAGUGACGCUGAGACGCGAAAGCGUGGGGAGCAAACAGGAUUAGAUACCCCUGUAGUCCCUGAGCGGGCUGGCAAGGCGCAU
This 447-nucleotide ribosomal RNA is filed under the name uncultured bacterium. RNAcentral's name for it is "bacterial SSU rRNA". It matches the Rfam family "Bacterial small subunit ribosomal RNA", at positions 355 to 825 of the family's 1533-position model. The record is from RNAcentral.